Long non-coding RNA from Rhipicephalus sanguineus (brown dog tick), 1606 nucleotides. RefSeq lists it as uncharacterized. The record is from RefSeq and is a predicted model, not a curated record. The transcript has 3 exons. NCBI's taxonomy places the organism in Eukaryota, Metazoa, Arthropoda, Arachnida, Ixodida, Ixodidae.
AUGGCGGGGGAGCCCUCUCCGUCAGCACCUGGAAGCAAAACUUCGGCUUGCUUGGAGACUCCAGCUAUACAUUAGAACCAUGGUUCCUGACACCAGUGCCCGGACGACCAGCUCGUGGCACCCCUGAUAACCACUACAACAAGGCCCACACCGCCAUGCGCAAUGUUGUGGAGUGGUGCAUCGCUGUAAGCUUGUGCACAGCUGCUCAAGCAUCAUUGCUGCUUGUGCAGCUCUGCACGACAUUGCGUUGGCGGCACAUGAGCCUGUUCCCGAAGGAAACGAUGACGACACCGACGAUGCUGACUGGUGCCAGCAGCAGCUGAGCUACCACCACCACCACAACGGGAGCCAGCAGCAGCGCAACCAUGUAGUGAACCUGUUUCGAGAACCACAGGGCCUGCAUGCUUGAGCACCUGCGCAGAGUACGCCGCCGCCUGCAACGACCUCGGCAGCAUUGUGUGGUGCCUUCCGCUGCAAUGAGGGCCCGGGCGAGGGUACCAACGUCUUGCAAUUUGUGGACCGCGUCACCGAGAAGUUGAACCUGGCGCAGCUUUCCAAUGAUGCCUGGCCCUGCCGCCUGGUGUUUGCGGCUAGUAACUCCAGCGCCUCGGCCUGCCGGUUGCCCCCAUCUCGCAGCUGCGGCAUGAGCUGGAAACCAAGAAAUGUGUUGCCAUUAUCAUCUAUAAAUUUCCUGCUACCGACUCUUCGCUGGAAGCUUCUGUUCGUGAAGAGUUUCAGUGUGUGCAACAAUUUCCUCUCUGUUGAAAAUCCACUGACCCAACGGCAUCCAUGAAUGGUGCUUGGUUCACCGCACAACCAACGCACUUCGUUUGGACAGACCAAAGCGGUGCCGGAAUUAAUUUUCGCUCAUCUCAUCAAACGCAUCUUACGCCUCUAACCACCUCUGCAUGAGAAGCAACCAAACAGCCCUUUUCAGGGCUACACAAUCGUUUGCCCGGCUUUACGCGAUGACUGACACAAUCUCCUUCCGAAACCCUAGCUGCUGCAGUAUGCAAAACAUACAGCAAGCAGGUGUAACACAGGUGCAAACAUGUACAUUUGUGUAUGAUGGCUAUGUGAAAAAGUUAUAUAACGAGCUUGCUUUUUGAACAGUAUAUUUAGCAAUAGCACAUUUUCAGUUUCACUUUUGAAGCAAUUGACAAAAUAGGGAAACAUUUCAAGAUGUUGAACAUUUUUGCAAUGCUACCUUUUUGCUACAUUUCACCAUAACUGCAAGGCAGGACACCUGUUUAUUCCAUCUGACAGUUAUGCAUAGAACUAGCUCCUGCAACCGUUUGCCAAAUUUUUUUUGUGCAGCCUUUUGUCUUUAUGCCCACAGAUGUCAUCUCUUCACAAACAUAUGCCUGCACGCAUGAGCAUCACCUGUGAGCAUGUAACACCAUCUACAGUUAAUCAAAAACAUCAGCGAAACUUACGAGUUGGGGCACGGGAAAGAUCCUGGGCCACAUCCUCUUCAGCCACACCAGUAGCAGCUGGAGCAGGGCUCACCUGUUAUAGUAAGAAGUUUCUUGAUUGACACACUGAGUGCAAUAAGAAGUAUGGAGUGGAAGUGGACAAUAGCAAUGUUUUUUUAGAAUGUUUCAAC